AUAAGGUUAAGUGAAUAAGGGCGCACGGUGGAUGCCUUGGCACUAGGAGCCGAUGAAGGACGGGACUAACACCGAUAUGCUUCGGGGAGCUGUAAGUAAGCUUUGAUCCGGAGAUUUCCGAAUGGGGGAACCCAGCAUCUUUUAUAGGAUGUUACUUUUCAGUGAAUACAUAGCUGAUUAGAGGUAGACGCAGAGAACUGAAACAUCUAAGUACCUGCAGGAAGAGAAAGAAAAAUCGAUUCCCUGAGUAGCGGCGAGCGAAACGGGAAAAGCCCAAACCAAGAGGCUUGCCUCUUGGGGUUGUAGGACUCCGAUA
RNAcentral lists this ribosomal RNA (316 nucleotides) under Enterococcus raffinosus. RNAcentral's name for it is "partial 23S ribosomal RNA". It matches the Rfam family "Bacterial large subunit ribosomal RNA", at positions 1 to 313 of the family's 2925-position model. The record is from RNAcentral. Lineage: Bacteria; Bacillati; Bacillota; Bacilli; Lactobacillales; Enterococcaceae.